Long non-coding RNA from Gambusia affinis (western mosquitofish), 624 nucleotides. RefSeq lists it as uncharacterized. The transcript has 2 exons. The record is from RefSeq and is a predicted model, not a curated record. Lineage: Eukaryota; Metazoa; Chordata; Actinopteri; Cyprinodontiformes; Poeciliidae.
UUUUCCUCCUGCCUCUCGUGAGUGUGCUCUCGGUGCCUCUCUGGUCCUCUUAAUUCUCCUUCUUUACGCCGUUUCUGCUCUGUCGUCUCCCUUAUUACGUCUCUCCUCGUCUUCUUCAGCAGACAGAUAAAGCAGAGACGGAGACAGCUUCCUGGAGCGCAAAGUAAUGGCUGCUCUUUCCAAGUUUCAGCGGCACCGGCAGCAGCAGGCUUGGGAUCAACCUGCCAAAGCACAGCCUUGAAGUUUGGACUUUAAAGCGGACCGCCUGCUUGCUGGGAGGCUGAGCGGGACAGCCCCUCCUUCCCGCUAAACAAACUGUUAGAUAAUGCCCACCAACGGUACAGUACCUGGGGAUGAGUUGAAAAAGCACGCAUGCCCAGUAAAAUGCAAACAAUAAAAGGCCCCUUCACAAAUCCCUGUGUCCAAAUAAAUAAACAUGCUCGAAAAACCCACGGUGGUUUCUCCCUCCUGUCACAUCUGAUGAGCAAAGAAACUGACUGAGCAGGAGGUGAAAAACCUUCUGAACUGAAAAGUCGAUUUUAUGUCCUCAUGUGUCAUUCAUUCAGAAAAUAUCAGUAUAUACUUCCUGAUUUUACCAAAAGAAGAAUAAAUCUGGAAAAUGGA